UGGGGAAUAUUGCACAAUGGGCGCAAGCCUGAUGCAGCCAUGCCGCGUGUGUGAAGAAGGCCUUCGGGUUGUAAAGCACUUUCAGCGAGGAGGAAGGUGGUGAGCUUAAUACGCUCAUCAAUUGACGUUACUCGCAGAAGAAGCACCGGCUAACUCCGUGCCAGCAGCCGCGGUAAUACGGAGGGUGCAAGCGUUAAUCGGAAUUACUGGGCGUAAAGCGCACGCAGGCGGUUUGUUAAGUCAGAUGUGAAAUCCCCGGGCUCAACCUGGGAACUGCAUUUGAAACUGGCAAGCUAGAGUCUCGUAGAGGGGGGUAGAAUUCCAGGUGUAGCGGUGAAAUGCGUAGAGAUCUGGAGGAAUACCGGUGGCGAAGGCGGCCCCCCUGGACGAAGACUGACGCUCAGGUGCGAAAGCGUGGGGAGCAAAACAGGAUUAGAUACCCUGGUAGUCCACGCUGUAAAACGAUGUCGAUUUUGGAGGUUGUGCCCUUGAGGCGUGGCUUCCGGAGCUAACGCGUUAAAUCGACCGCCUGGGGAGUACGGCCGCAAGGUUAAAACUCAAAGGAAUUGACGGGUCU
This 577-nucleotide ribosomal RNA is filed under the name uncultured bacterium. RNAcentral's name for it is "partial 16S ribosomal RNA". It matches the Rfam family "Bacterial small subunit ribosomal RNA", at positions 355 to 920 of the family's 1533-position model. The record is from RNAcentral.